RNAcentral lists this ribosomal RNA (383 nucleotides) under uncultured Lactobacillus sp. RNAcentral's name for it is "bacterial SSU rRNA". It matches the Rfam family "Bacterial small subunit ribosomal RNA", at positions 173 to 524 of the family's 1533-position model. Lineage: Bacteria; Bacillati; Bacillota; Bacilli; Lactobacillales; Lactobacillaceae. The record is from RNAcentral.
UAAGAAAGCAGAUCGCAUGAUCUAAGCUUUUAAAAAAGGCGGCGUAAGCUGUCGCUUAUGGGAUCGGCCCCGCGGUGCAUUAGCUAGUUGGUAAGGUAAAGGCUUACCAAGGCGAUGAUGCAUAGCCCGAGUUGAGAGACUGAUCGGGCCACAUUGGGGACUGAGGACACGGGGCCCAAAACUCCUACGGGGGGAGGGGCAGCAGUAGGGGGAAUCUUCCACAAUGGACGCAAGUCUGAUGGAGCAACGCCGCGUGAGUGAAGAAGGUUUUCGGAUCGUAAAGCUCUGUUGUUGGUGAAGAAGGAUAGAGGUAGUAACUGGCCUUUAUUUGACGGUAAUCAACCAGAAAGUCACGGCUAACUACGUGCCAGCAGCCGGGUAAU